This 250-nucleotide ribosomal RNA is filed under the name uncultured bacterium. RNAcentral describes it as "partial 16S ribosomal RNA". It matches the Rfam family "Bacterial small subunit ribosomal RNA", at positions 524 to 773 of the family's 1533-position model. The record is from RNAcentral.
UACGUAGGUGGCAAGCGUUGUCCGGAUUCAUUGGGCGUAAAGCGCCCGCAGGCGGCUCGGUAAGUUUCAAGUGAAAUCUCCCGGCUCAACUGGGAGGGGUCUUGGAAAACUGCCGGGCUUGAGGCAGGGAGGGGAAUGCGGAAUUCCAGGUGUAGCGGUGAAAUGCGUAGAUAUCUGGAGGAACAUCAGCGGCGAAGGCGGCAUUCUGGCCCUGUCCUGACGCUCAGGGGCGAAAGCGUGGGGAGCAAAC